This 593-nucleotide ribosomal RNA is filed under the name uncultured bacterium. Its description in RNAcentral is "bacterial SSU rRNA". It matches the Rfam family "Bacterial small subunit ribosomal RNA", at positions 338 to 950 of the family's 1533-position model. The record is from RNAcentral.
CCUACGGGAGGCAGCAGUGGGGAAUAUUGGACAAUGGGCGAAAGCCUGAUCCAGCAAUGCCGCGUGAGUGAUGAAGGCCUUAGGGUUGUAAAGCUCUUUUACCAGGGAUGAUAAUGACAGUACCUGGAGAAUAAGCUCCGGCUAACUCCGUGCCAGCAGCCGCGGUAAUACGGAGGGAGCUAGCGUUGUUCGGAAUUACUGGGCGUAAAGCGUACGUAGGCGGUUAUUCAAGUCAGAGGUGAAAGCCUGGAGCUCAACUCCAGAACUGCCUUUGAAACUAGAUAGCUAGAAUCUUGGAGAGGUGAGUGGAAUUCCGAGUGUAGAGGUGAAAUUCGUAGAUAUUCGGAAGAACACCAGUGGCGAAGGCGACUCACUGGACAAGUAUUGACGCUGAGGUACGAAAGCGUGGGGAGCAAACAGGAUUAGAUACCCUGGUAGUCCACGCCGUAAACGAUGAUAACUAGCUGUUCGGGCUCUACGAGCUUGAGUGGCGCAGCUAACGCAUUAAGUUAUCCGCCUGGGGAGUACGGUCGCAAGNUUAAAACUCAAAGGAAUUGACGGCUGAGAGNGCGACGACGACGACGAGGGAGAGG